Molecule: ribosomal RNA, 1346 nt
Filed under: uncultured bacterium
Lineage: Bacteria
Description: bacterial SSU rRNA
Rfam family: Bacterial small subunit ribosomal RNA
Source: RNAcentral
GGAUGAACGCUGGCGGCGUGCCUCAAACAUGCAAGUCGAGCGAGGCUAUGAAUUACCGCAAGGUAAGGCAUAGCCUAGCGGCGAACGGGUGAGUAACACGUGGGUAACCUACCUGGAAGACAGGGAUAACGAUUCGAAAGGGUCGCUAAUACCUGAUAAUAUCCAUCUGCCGGAUGGCGGAGGGAAGAAAGGGGAAACCCGCUUUCAGAUGGGCCCGCGUCCCAUCAGCUAGUUGGUAAGGUAAAGGCUUACCAAGGCGACGACGGGUAGCCGGUCUGAGAGGAUGUACGGCCACACUGGGACUGAGAUACGGCCCAGACUCCUACGGGAGACAGCAGUUGGGAAUCUUAGGCAAUGGACGAAAGUCUGACCUAGCGACGCCGCGUGAGGGAAGAAGGCCUUCGGGUUGUAAACCUCUGUCAUGGGGGAAGAAGGAAGUGACGGUACCCCAAGAGGAAGCCCCUGCUAACUACGUGCCAGCAGCCGCGGUAAUACGUAUGUCGCAAGCGUUAUCCGGAAUUAUUGGGCGUAAAGGGCAUCUAGGCGGUCAAUCAAGUCGAAGGUGAAAACUUGUGGCUCAACCAUAAGCUUGCCUACGAAACUGAUUAACUAGAGUACUGGAGAGGUGGACGGAACUACACGAGUAGAGGUGAAAUUCGUAGAUAUGUGUAGGAAUGCCGAUGAUGAAGAUAGUUCACUGGACAGAAACUGACGCUGAAGUGCGAAAGCUAGGGGAGCAAACAGGAUUAGAUACCCUGGUAGUCCUAGCUGUAAACGAUGAUCACUGGGUGUGGGCAGGAAGACUGUCUGUGCCGAAGCUAACGCGAUAAGUGAUCCGCCUGGGGAGUACGACCGCAAGGUUGAAACUCAAAGGAAUUGACGGGGACCCGCACAAGCGGUGGAGCAUGUGGUUUAAUUCGACGCAACGCGAGGAACCUUACCAGAUCUUGACAUCCUCAGAAUCGAACAGAAGUGUUUGAGUGCCUUCGGGAACUGAGAGACAGGUGGUGCAUGGCUGUCGACAGCUCGUGUCGUGAGAUGUUGGGUUAAGUCCCGCAACGAGCGCAACCCCUAUCGUUAGUUACCAUCAUUAAGUUGGGGACUCUAGCGAGACUGCCUGCGAAGAGCAGGAGGAAGGUGGGGAUGACGUCAAGUCAUCAUGCCCCUUAUGAUCUGGGCUACACACGUGCUACAAUGGAUGGUACAAAGAGGAGCGAAAUGGUGACAUGGAGCAAAUCUCAAAAGCCAUUCCCAGUUCGGAUUGAAGUCUGCAACUCGACUUCAUGAAGUUGGAAUCGCUAGUAAUCGCAAAUCAGCGAUGUUGCGGUGAAUACGUUCUCGGGUCU